RNAcentral lists this ribosomal RNA (506 nucleotides) under uncultured Glomeromycotina. RNAcentral describes it as "SSU rRNA". It matches the Rfam family "Eukaryotic small subunit ribosomal RNA", at positions 569 to 1078 of the family's 1831-position model. Lineage: Eukaryota; Fungi; Glomeromycota. The record is from RNAcentral.
AGCAGCCGCGGUAAUUCCAGCUCCAAUAGCGUAUAUUAAAGUUGCUGCAGUUAAAAAGCUCGUAGUUGAAUUUCGGGACUAAUAUGUCGGUCGUGCCUCGGUACGUACUGGCUUAUUGGUUUCUCCUUUCUGAAGAACCAUGAUGUCAUUUAUUUGGUGUCGUGGGGAAUCAGGACUGUUACUUUGGAAAAAUUAGAGUGUUUAAAGCAGGCUCACGCUUGAAUACAUUAGCAUGGAAUAAUGAAAUAGGACGUUUGAUUCUAUUUUGUUGGUUUCUAGGAUCGACGUAAUGAUUAAUAGGGAUAGUUGGGGGCAUUAGUAUUCAAUUGUCAGAGGUGAAAUACUUGGAUUUAUUGAAGACUAACUACUGCGAAAGCAUUUGCCAAGGAUGUUUUCAUUAAUCAAGAACGAAAGUUAGGGGAUCGAAGACGAUCAGAUACCGUCGUAGUCUUAACCAUAAACUAUGCCGACUAGGGAUCGGAUGAUGUUAAUUUUUUAAUGACUCA